This 72-nucleotide ribosomal RNA is filed under the name Glaesserella parasuis. RNAcentral's name for it is "partial 16S ribosomal RNA". It matches the Rfam family "Bacterial small subunit ribosomal RNA", at positions 1462 to 1533 of the family's 1533-position model. RNAcentral also lists the same sequence under 1 other name. The record is from RNAcentral. Lineage: Bacteria; Pseudomonadati; Pseudomonadota; Gammaproteobacteria; Pasteurellales; Pasteurellaceae.
GUAUGAUUCAUGACUGGGGUGAAGUCGUAACAAGGUAACCGUAGGGGAACCUGCGGUUGGAUCACCUCCUUA